CCUACGGGGGGCUGCAGUGGGGAAUAUUGGACAAUGGGGGGAACCCUGAUCCAGCCAUGCCGCGUGUGUGAAGAAGGCCCUCGGGUUGUAAAGCACUUUCAGUGAGGAAGAACGCCUGGUGGUUAAUACCCAUCAGGAAAGACAUCACUCACAGAAGAAGCACCGGCUAACUCCGUGCCAGCAGCCGCGGUAAUACGGAGGGUGCGAGCGUUAAUCGGAAUUACUGGGCGUAAAGCGCGCGUAGGUGGCUUGAUAAGCCGGUUGUGAAAGCCCCGGGCUCAACCUGGGAACGGCAUCCGGAACUGUCAAGCUAGAGUGCCGGAGAGGAAGGUAGAAUUCCCGGUUUAGCGGUGAAAUGCGUAGAGAUCGGGAGGAAUACCAGUGGCGAAGGCGGCCUUCUGGACUUACACUGACACUGAGGUGCGAAAGCGUGGGUAGCAAACAGGAUUAGAUAUCCGAGUAGUC
Molecule: ribosomal RNA, 465 nt
Filed under: Vreelandella stevensii
Lineage: Bacteria; Pseudomonadati; Pseudomonadota; Gammaproteobacteria; Oceanospirillales; Halomonadaceae
Description: partial 16S ribosomal RNA
Rfam family: Bacterial small subunit ribosomal RNA
Source: RNAcentral